UGGGGAAUAUUGCACAAUGGGCGAAAGCCUGAUGCAGCAACGCCGCGUGAGGGAUGACGGCCUUCGGGUUGUAAACCUCUUUUAGUAGGGAAGAAGCGAAAGUGACGGUACCUGCAGAAAAAGCACCGGCUAACUACGUGCCAGCAGCCGCGGUAAUACGUAGGGUGCAAGCGUUGUCCGGAAUUAUUGGGCGUAAAGAGCUCGUAGGCGGCUUGUCGCGUCUGCCGUGAAAACCCCAGGCUCAACCUGGGGCGUGCGGUGGGUACGGGCAGGCUAGAGUGCGGUAGGGGAGAUUGGAAUUCCUGGUGUAGCGGUGGAAUGCGCAGAUAUCAGGAGGAACACCGAUGGCGAAGGCAGAUCUCUGGGCCGCUACUGACGCUGAGGAGCGAAAGCAUGGGGAGCGAACA
RNAcentral lists this ribosomal RNA (407 nucleotides) under uncultured prokaryote. RNAcentral's name for it is "bacterial SSU rRNA". It matches the Rfam family "Bacterial small subunit ribosomal RNA", at positions 355 to 774 of the family's 1533-position model. The record is from RNAcentral.